This 145-nucleotide unclassified non-coding RNA is filed under the name soil metagenome. Its description in RNAcentral is "partial internal transcribed spacer 1". The record is from RNAcentral.
CAUAACAGGCUCAGUAUGGGGGCCCUUUUAAAUUUCCAUAUUCUUCACCUUGUGUGCAAUGUUUUUUAUUUAACACAUUUAAACGCUUAAAUUUUUUUUUUAAAUUGUCUGAAAUAAAUAUUGUGAAUUUUUUUAAUCCAAAAUA